UAGCUACAGGCUUAACACAUGCAAGUCGAGGGGCAGCAUGGUCUUAGCUUGCUAAGGCCGAUGGCGACCGGCGCACGGGUGAGUAACACGUAUCCAACCUGCCGUCUACUCUUGGACAGCCUUCUGAAAGGAAGAUUAAUACAAGAUGGCAUCAUGAGUCCGCAUGUUCACAUGAUUAAAGGUAUUCCGGUAGACGAUGGGGAUGCGUUCCAUUAGAUAGUAGGCGGGGUAACGGCCCACCUAGUCUUCGAUGGAUAGGGGUUCUGAGAGGAAGGUCCCCCACAUUGGAACUGAGACACGGUCCAAACUCCUACGGGAGGCAGCAGUGAGGAAUAUUGGUCAAUGGGCGAGAGCCUGAACCAGCCAAGUAGCGUGAAGGAUGACUGCCCUAUGGGUUGUAAACUUCUUUUAUAAAGGAAUAAAGUCGGGUAUGGAUACCCGUUUGCAUGUACUUUAUGAAUAAGGAUCGGCUAACUCCGUGCCAGCAGCCGCGGUAAUACGGAGGAUCCGAGCGUUAUCCGGAUUUAUUGGGUUUAAAGGGAGUGUAGAUGGAUAUUUAAGUCAGUUGUGAAAGUUUGCGGCUCAACCGUAAAAUUGCAGUUGAUACUGGAUAUCUUGAGUGCAGUUGAGGCAGGCGGAAUUCGUGGUGUAGCGGUGAAAUGCUUAGAUAUCACGAAGAACUCCGAUUGCGAAGGCAGCCUGCU
Molecule: ribosomal RNA, 704 nt
Filed under: uncultured Bacteroidales bacterium
Lineage: Bacteria; Pseudomonadati; Bacteroidota; Bacteroidia; Bacteroidales
Description: bacterial SSU rRNA
Rfam family: Bacterial small subunit ribosomal RNA
Source: RNAcentral